RNAcentral lists this long non-coding RNA (1075 nucleotides) under Daucus carota (carrot). RNAcentral's name for it is "long non-coding RNA (DCAR_LNC001401)". The record is from RNAcentral. Lineage: Eukaryota; Viridiplantae; Streptophyta; Magnoliopsida; Apiales; Apiaceae.
UCCUUUUUGCCCCCCUCUGAUCUAGAUGCACAUAGUGAUGUUGCAGCUCGUUAUUCCUUUGGCCUAGAUGAACAUAUACAUAAGUUGCGAUUAGAAUCGUGAAACAACCCCCUUUAUGUAAAACAAGGGCAAAGUUGGGGACGUGAUCUAUAUCAUCUUGUUAGGGUCAUAGAAAAUUAGAAACAAUCCCUAGAUGCAGAUAGGAAUACAGUGGUGCCCAACCUAGAUGCACAUAACUCACACUAAGAUUCAUUCAAAUUUGAGUGUCUUAUUUACAGGUGAGACUGACUAUUGAAUGUUACUCCCUGAAUUACCUUUCAAACUUUAGGCGCUGUGGAACUUUGAUCAAUGAAUGCAAAUAUGCCUUUUUUCAUUACACUCGCUUUAAAUACAGGACUAACUUCAUAUCAUUUUGUUCUUGCAGUAUUCAAGACGAGUACAAACCAAAGUGUGAUCCAAACUUAUAACGAAACUACCUACAAAAACUGUAGUAUCGACUACUCAGAAGACGAUGACACCUUCUCAUUUACAAGUGGCAACAGCGAGUUCAACCAAUCACUCACCAUAGCUAUCCCAUUAACCAUUAACGGUACAAACUAUUACUUCUCUGAUUCAGAUGAUGGUGUACAAUGCCAACAAGGCAUGGCGUUCGAGAUUGAUGUAAAAUAUGGCAGCGGACUUCCACCAAGCCUCAACCAGCCUCCGCCACCGGCCUAUGUGGAGCCAUCACCACCGUUGCCAGACGUGACCACUCCACCGCCCAGUACCGGUUUCAGGACUAACCUGCCUUGGUUGGUUAGUGUUAUUACAUUAUGUGGAAUGGUAGUGUUAUAGAAUGAGUAUUAGAACCAAAGUGUAUUGUACACUAGAAGACAUCAUUUGGAAAAGUAAUUAUGCGAGUAGUAAGGGUCGUUUUGGGGAUUUAGAUACAAAAAUUAGUUGUCAAGCAUGUGUCGGCAGAAGGGAGUGUGGGACUUAGCUGUACUGUUUGGCUUUAGAUUAUACUACUGCUGCUACUUUUCUUGAAUUAAAUUGUUGCAUUAAUUACACAUCCGUCUAAACUUCUAAACCUAUU